CUGCAACGUGUCACUGCUUUCCUAUCUUUCAACACUGACUGGAUGUCCUCCUGCUUUCUGAAACUCAAUCUCUCUAAAACAGAGCUCCUUGUCAUUCCUCCUCCUAAUACUGAUCCUCCUCUUUCGCUCUCCCUUCAAGUUAGUGGUAUCCACAUAAGUCCAUCCUUGCAAGUGCGCUGUCUUGGCGUCAUACUUGACUCUGGCCUCACAUCCAGUAUGUAGCCGAAUCCUGUAGAUUCCAUCUUAAAAACAUAGCCCACAUUCGCCCCUUUCUUACGCAAGAUG
Non-coding RNA from Pelobates cultripes (western spadefoot toad), 285 nucleotides. Lineage: Eukaryota; Metazoa; Chordata; Amphibia; Anura; Pelobatidae. The record is from the annotation of a GenBank genome assembly.